CCAGUUCCACCCCGUGUGGUACCUCCUCCACCUUUGGUAACUUUCCUGAAUUUUUCUUUUCCUUUUUUUUCUGAAGUUCAUGGUUCAAUUAGUCACUUUGUUUUUGCUUUUAGAGGAAUGAUAACUCUUUUUUUUUGUUAAUUUCAGUCGAAGUAUCAUGAUUGCGGCAAGGAGAAAACUCCACAACUCCUUGAAGACUCCCUCUCAUAUGAUUUUGUCAACCUUAUAAAAAAGUUAUCAGUACGUCAAUGCAAUCAUGUCAAGUCUGGUUGAUGUUAAUAAAAGCUCAUCUAACUGCAUUAUUUAUCUUUAGGUUGCUAUAAAUCCCGAGUUGAAGUCAAGGAUGUUAGUAAAAGCUCAUCUAACUGCAUUAUUUAUCUUUAGGUUGCUAUAAACCCCAAGUUCAAAUCAACAAGGGUGUUCUCGAUGAAAAAGAAGGCAAGAGAAAUCAAGAGAGAAUUUUUUUCCGAGCUCAAGAAGACGUCUUUGGGCGACAAAUUGCUCACCUAUAAUGGAAGGGAGAGUAUUCAGGAUGAAGGUUCACCUCCUGGACCUAAGGAACCAG
RNAcentral lists this long non-coding RNA (565 nucleotides) under Setaria italica (foxtail millet). RNAcentral's name for it is "long non-coding RNA (SITA_LNC004862)". The record is from RNAcentral. Lineage: Eukaryota; Viridiplantae; Streptophyta; Magnoliopsida; Poales; Poaceae.